RNAcentral lists this ribosomal RNA (291 nucleotides) under Triticum aestivum (bread wheat). Its description in RNAcentral is "partial small subunit ribosomal RNA". Lineage: Eukaryota; Viridiplantae; Streptophyta; Magnoliopsida; Poales; Poaceae. The record is from RNAcentral.
AUGGCGACGAGCAAGGAAGACAUCAAGCACGGCACGGCCCAGGCGAGGUUGACCGUGGACGACGAGCUCAGGACCGGCUACUUCAACGGCACGCCGCUCGAGGGCGGCAAGAUCGCCGACUCCGACCCCGUCGACCUCUUCGCCCAGGCGCGACACGUCGCCGACGCCUCGCAGCAGCAGCCGCGGCGUGAUCUAGGGGAGGAGGAAGGGAGGAAGGCUGGGUCGGAGGAGCCGCGGGCGCAGGCGCGGCAGGGGAUGGGCGCCGGUGGACGUCAGCUUGGGCGCCAGUAG